This is a non-coding RNA of Oncorhynchus mykiss (rainbow trout), 1659 nucleotides long. Lineage: Eukaryota; Metazoa; Chordata; Actinopteri; Salmoniformes; Salmonidae. The record is from RefSeq and is a predicted model, not a curated record.
AUGCAUUAUACCGCCUCCAACGUCCGGGUUGAUGACUUCCGGAGCGAUUUCUGCUAUUGUUUUUAUCAUUAGCUUACUAGCUAUCUAAAUGUCGUUGAUGCAUUUCUGACUGAAAUAGUUUGCAAUGACUACGUUUAAAUUACAGCCCCACGAAGGAGGUGCUAAUGAACAUUGUUCAGUGCGUCUGUGUUCAGUUUCUUCCAAAUGGAAUGGUAUUGUGCGCUUCCAUAGUUUCCCGGUCGGUGUAGAGCUCAGAAAAAGGUGGUUGGUGGCAGUACGUCGUGACAACUUUACUGUCACCAAACACACAAAUAUGUGUUGUACACAUUUCGUUGAGUGACUUUGUUGAGGUAAACAUUAGGAAGUGACAAUACCUAAAAAGAGGUGUUGUUCCUACAGUCUUGGCGUGGAACUGGCACAUUCAAAAGAGACCUGGUGUUUGGGAAAGAAAAUGAAAAACCAUGAGCACGUAAGAGAAAUUUAGGAGCUUCGAGCCAAGCUGGAGAAACUGAUUGCCCAACACGGCUUUGGUCUACAGCGAUUUGCUGGUUCUGACGAGGAGAUACGUUUUUACACAAGAUGUGCAAGCUACACCCACCUGAUGGCCUUCUGGCACUUGUUUGAAGGGGCAGCAGAGACCAGGUUUAUAAGAGUCACAAGCACCAAUUCAUCUGAAACAAGUGUUACUUUAAGAAAACUGACACUGCCAUCAAUCGACGACCUCUUCUUGUUUAUGACUCAUCUGUCUCUGGGUCUGAAACAGAAGGAUUUGGCCCAUCGGUUCAGUAUCCACCAAUCGACAGUGAGCCGGAUUAUCAUCUCUUGGGCCAACUUCCUCUACUGUCUGCUUGGAUCAGCACGGAUAUGGAUCCCCAAGGAAACCAUCAAAGCCCACCUGCCACCUGAGUUCAAGGACUGUCCAGACACCCAGGUAGUGAUCGACUGCCAGACAACAUCUUCCCUACUACUGCAGAGUGAGGCGUUUUCUUCCUACAAGUCACACUGUACCUUUAAGGGCAUGUUGGGAAUGUCACCACAUAUGUGAGUGACAUGGAGAUCUUCAAGCAGUCUGGAAUUAUUUCCUUACUCACCCCUGACAUUGGCCAUUAUCCACCAUAAUGGCCUUCUCGUAGAUGACAUUGUUCCGUGCAAGGGCUACCGGACAGUCUUUCUGUCAAGACACACACAGAGGCCAGCGCAUGAGGUUAGGGAGACCCAGUCCAUUGCCAGGCUGAGAGUGCAUUUUGAAAGAAUGAUCCACAGAGUAAAGGAGCACAGGCUGUUUGACACAGUCACCCCGCUGACCAUCUCAGGCAGCAUCAACCAAUUAUUUGCAGUGGCGUGCCUGUUGGCCAACUAUCAAAACGGACCUUUGGUCAGAGCAUAGGCCAAGUCAGUGUAAAUGUACUUGUGUUUACUUGCUAGCAGCAAAAUAAUAAUUAGUUUAUCUACGACAUGUAUCAAUCAUUUGUGUUGUAGUGAACAUCAGUUUGUGUGGAGCUUCUAUUGGCUUUAAUUUGGCAAUGAGUUUAGGGGUGGGGGAAAGAAAUAAAGUCAACACAGAAUAGCCAGAAUGCAAGACUGAAUACAAUGUUAGAGAUGUGUAAUUGAUUAACUGAACUGUUGAACAUUUGCUGAAAUAAAUUUUUUUUAAACAAA